Scophthalmus maximus (turbot) is the source of this 1851-nucleotide long non-coding RNA. RefSeq lists it as uncharacterized. The record is from RefSeq and is a predicted model, not a curated record. Lineage: Eukaryota; Metazoa; Chordata; Actinopteri; Pleuronectiformes; Scophthalmidae. The transcript is spliced from 5 exons.
AAACUCUUAAAGACACACGCUGCAUGACUUUGUCUGUUAUUUCUGACAGUCAUGUCCGUCUGACACACUGGAAUGCAGGCAGAUCAGACAGAAGGUCACCAAGGAUUUACUUUCAAUACACGUAGAACCAGAUUAGGUUGUGUGUGUAUAAACAAGAACUUAAAGUGUCUUUCCUUGGUUUGUGAUUCCACAUACAGUAAUUACAUGACGUUAACGCCUUGGUGGAGUGAAGUGAAAUGAAAACCUUUAUCUGCUAUAGGGUCGUGUUUUGGACGUCUGAUACAUCUUACCACGACCAAAAGACUCUUCAUCUCCUUCAGAGUGGCACAGCAUCCAAUUAUUCCGGUCACUAUGACGAUGACCCCAGCAGCUAUCAGGAUGUAAGCUGAGGCUGAGUAAAAGCUGGAGUUGAGUAAACUGAUGUAGUCGCUCUUUUCCACCAGAGUCCACACUCCCACUGUCAGGACAGCUCCUCCUGCCACCUGAGAGAACGUGCACCGUUAUCAUCUUUUCAAUUCAGAGUCCAUCCAUCCUCUCACCGCGGUGAAGGAGGGGGAGUGAGUGACGUCGUACAUGGCAAGGACACUGUCAGCCUUUCUGUAGUACUGCUCAGUGAUGCUGCGAAACCUGAAAAAAAGAGGAAUCGUGUCCCAAAGCUGCAGGGUGAUGCUGGUGGAGUCCAGGGUUAAAGUCUUCAUCUGGAAAUCAAUACCUACAGAAAACAUCAGAGGCCCCUGGAUUCAUGUUUUACAGAUACAUUGAGGAGCAAGUUAAUCAUUGAGAAAGAGUGAUAAGAGUGAUCUUACCAACAGUAGCACUCAUUUUACUGCAGAAGCAUCCUGUGCAGUAGUGCUGGAUGAAGGAGCUCUUACCCACACCUGAGUUACCCAAGAACACCACCUUGAACACUCGCUGAGGAUCGACAAGUCUGCUCUAAAAUUCAGAUGAGCUCAGCUGUCUUCAGGAUCAAUGAAGACACAAAAUUAGUGGCCUCCCGGGGGAAAACACACUCACUGUGAAGAUGGUACAUGUUAUAUCAGAUGCAGCUCGUACCUCGACAUCCUCAGACAGGGGCCUGCUCUGUGUCCCAGACACCCAAAUGGAACUAAAGGGGACAUUUGCAGUCAGGGCCCCGAGGCUCUGGAAUGAUCUGCUCCAGAAAAUCUGGUCGGCUGACCCCGAGAUUUCUUUGAACUGUUUUUUCACUUUUAUAACUAUUCUAUUUAGUUCUGAAGUUGUUGACUUAAUCAGAAUUUUGAAAAGUGCUCUAUAAAUAAAGAAUAUCAUUAUAAAAGAUUACUUUGUUGGGGCUGAGUGCCACCAACAGAGUGGGGAAGCCAGAAAGAACUGGGAGACUGUACACUGUUGGUUUUGUUCUCUUCGUGUUAUUUGUAAAAAAAAAACAAAAAACCUUUAAUAAACCCCUUGUAUUCAUGAAAAUAUUAUCAGAUCAUCUGCCACCUACCUUGGAGUCAUUUUUAAACUCAAGUCCACAUGAUUCUUUACAACAUCUUUAACAAAAUUGAGUGUUCUUAUGUUCUCCACUUUGGGGGAAGUUUUAACUUGUCCGACAUGGGAAAGUUAUUGACAGUUUUAUUUUAUCUCACAUUUGUUGUAGUGACUUUUUUCUGGUCCUGCUUUAAAAAAACAUGAAACAAAACCCCCCCAAAUUUCAUUGCCUGCAGCGAGUUUGAACUACAAAACGGGGCUCAUAUGACUCCCAUGUGUUAAUUGCUAUUUUUUAUUUGUUUGGAGCAAAGCAGUCACACACCAAAGAGGGACAGUGAUAUCAUGAUCUUAUAUUCAGGACACUCCAGCAGCUAUCUGUGACGUUAGCCACUCACCUCUGUG